RNAcentral lists this transfer RNA (61 nucleotides) under Vibrio cholerae HC-37A1. RNAcentral describes it as "partial tRNA-Phe". It matches the Rfam family "tRNA", at positions 7 to 60 of the family's 71-position model. From Rfam's summary of the family: Transfer RNA (tRNA) molecules are approximately 80 nucleotides in length. Their secondary structure includes four short double-helical elements and three loops (D, anti-codon, and T loops). Lineage: Bacteria; Pseudomonadati; Pseudomonadota; Gammaproteobacteria; Vibrionales; Vibrionaceae. The record is from RNAcentral.
CCCGGAUAGCUCAGUCGGUAGAGCAGAGGAUUGAAAAUCCUCGUGUCGGUGGUUCGAUUCC